AUUCCAAAACAUGAUCUGUUAUAGGAUCGUACCUCUGUAUCUCCUUGAGUUCUAAGGAGACAGGAAACUAAGUCUGGUGGAUGAUUUACGACUGUGUGAUUAGAGCGUAACUAACAGCUACCGUUUAUCUUCAUGAUCUCCUGGUGGUGCUGAUAACGUAUUGUAAAUAAACAGAAG
Molecule: small nucleolar RNA, 177 nt
Filed under: Beta vulgaris subsp. vulgaris (sugar beet)
Lineage: Eukaryota; Viridiplantae; Streptophyta; Magnoliopsida; Caryophyllales; Amaranthaceae
Description: snoRNA Plant_U3
Source: RNAcentral